This is a long non-coding RNA of Myotis brandtii (Brandt's bat), 1440 nucleotides long. RefSeq lists it as uncharacterized. The record is from RefSeq and is a predicted model, not a curated record. NCBI's taxonomy places the organism in Eukaryota, Metazoa, Chordata, Mammalia, Chiroptera, Vespertilionidae. The transcript is spliced from 3 exons.
UGGGGUCCUCGCGGCGCAGCGACCACUAGGACUAGGGUAGCCCCAGCCGCCCCCGUGCGCCCAGGACGGUCGGAAGGAAUGGGUGGCAGCGCUCUGCCCAUAGGGACUCUGGUCGUAUUGAGUUUUCAGAAUGGAUCUCUAUCUCUUGGCCACCAGGGUCUCCUGCUGUCCCCCUGCAUGGUGGGACCUGGAAGUGAGGCACUGCCAGGGGACUACCAUCCUGUGCCCACCAACUUGGAGGGGCCACUCCUGGGAUGCCGGCACAUCACAUGGCCACAGUGACCCACAGAAAACCAGCACAGCUGGUGGGGGGAGGGGCCACGCAGAGCCCCCAUCACUGUGGGGUGACCCCAUGAGCCCAAAUGGCCAUCAAGGCCUCUGUGUACCGCUCAGUCCCUGCUUCAAAGUGGCCAAUCUGGGCUGCGUGCACAUUCUCAGUCCUGACUCUGGUGGGAAUUCUGUGCCUCUCCUGGGUCUUGUGCUGUCAUCCACCUUGAGGGUCCACAGGUUCUCGAAGCCCUGCAGUACCCUGGGGCCUGGCCAGGCCUUCCCGCCCGUUCCUCAAGGUCUCAGCACCUGCCUGCCACUCGGCCAAGGCCUGCUGCUCCCUGGUCUGCAGCUUCUCGGUCUUCGCCAUUUCCUCCCGCAGGUGCCCCAUGUCACCCUCCAGCUUCAGCUGCAGACAACAGACCGCGGGAUAGGAGUUGGAGGCCCCCUGCACACCCACUUCAGGAGGUGCCCUCCGAAGCUGCAUCAAAGGGAAUGGAAAUGCACCCCAGAGCAUGCCCCUUGGGCGUGAGAAUUAUUUUGAGCUGGAGGCAGAAAGACACCUUCCGAGGCUCCUGUUAUGUGACUAAAAGCAGAAACUGCUGAGGAAUGAGGGUUGCCACAGGUCCGCCUCCCGGGGGAAGUUUUAUGGCUCUGAAGGAGGUGGAACGUGGGAUACCACUGAUGAACUUUAUCGUUUGUUGGUUUCCCCAAAAUACUUUCUGUUAUGAUCUGAAUGUUCAUGUCCCCCAAAAUUCACAUGUUAAGUCCUAACCCCCAAGGAGAUGGGGCCUUUGGGAGGUGAUGAGGUCAGAAAGGUGGAGCCCUCGGGAAUGGGGCUAGUGGGGAAGAAGGGACUGAGAGCUCCCAGCCCCCUCUUCCAUGUGAGGACAGUGGGAAGUUGGCUGUCUGUGAACUGGGAAGGAGCACCCCCGACCCCUGCCCCGACUGUGCUGGUGCCCUGAUCCUGGACUUCCAGCCUCCAGAGCCAUGAGCAUGAAGACUUGCUGUUUGUAAGCCGCCCAGUCUUGUGUUCUGUGACAACAGCUGGAAUGGACCAAGAUACUUUCCCAGUUGCUGCCCUUGGGAGCCUGUCACCUUUCCCUUUGUCUCUUCUCUCCAAAUGUACUGUUCCUUGUUCAGAUGCUAAACUAAACCACCUAGCCAGCCACA